RNAcentral lists this ribosomal RNA (497 nucleotides) under uncultured bacterium. RNAcentral describes it as "partial 16S ribosomal RNA". It matches the Rfam family "Bacterial small subunit ribosomal RNA", at positions 28 to 507 of the family's 1533-position model. The record is from RNAcentral.
GAUGAACGCUGGCGGCGUGCCUAAUACAUGCAAGUCGAGCGAACAGACGAGGAGCUUGCUCCUCUGACGUUAGCGGCGGACGGGUGAGUAACACGUGGAUAACCUACCUAUAAGACUGGGAUAACUUCGGGAAACCGGAGCUAAUACCGGAUAAUAUAUUGAACCGCAUGGUUCAAUAGUGAAAGACGGUUUUGCUGUCACUUAUAGAUGGAUCCGCGCCGCAUUAGCUAGUUGGUAAGGUAACGGCUUACCAAGGCAACGAUGCGUAGCCGACCUGAGAGGAUGAUCGGCCACACUGGAACUGAGACACGGUCCAGACUCCUACGGGAGGCAGCAGUAGGGAAUCUUCCGCAAUGGGCGAAAGCCUGACGGAGCAACGCCGCGUGAGUGGUGAAGGUCUUCGGAUCGUAAAACUCUGUUAUUAGGGAAGAACAAAUGUGUAAGUAACUAUGCACGUCUUGACGGUACCUAAUCAGAAAGCCACGGCUAACUACGUG